UACGUAGGGUGCAAGCGUUAAUCGGAAUUACUGGGCGUAAAGCGUGCGCAGGCGGUCGUGCAAGACAGGUGUGAAAUCCCCGGGCUUAACCUGGGAACUGCGCUUGUAACUGGCAAGCUUGAGUGUGGCAGAGGGGGGUGGAAUUCCACGUGUAGCAGUGAAAUGCGUAGAGAUGUGGAGGAACACCGAUGGCGAAGGCAGCCCCCUGGGCUAACACUGACGCUCAUGCACGAAAGCGUGGGGAGCAAACAGG
This 253-nucleotide ribosomal RNA is filed under the name uncultured bacterium. RNAcentral describes it as "partial 16S ribosomal RNA". It matches the Rfam family "Bacterial small subunit ribosomal RNA", at positions 524 to 776 of the family's 1533-position model. The record is from RNAcentral.